Molecule: ribosomal RNA, 450 nt
Filed under: uncultured bacterium
Lineage: Bacteria
Description: partial 16S ribosomal RNA
Rfam family: Bacterial small subunit ribosomal RNA
Source: RNAcentral
GUGGGGAAUAUUGGACAAUGGGCGAAAGCCUGAUCCAGCCAUGCCGCGUGUGUGAAGAAGGUCUUCGGAUUGUAAAGCACUUUAAGUUGGGAGGAAGGGCAGUAAGUUAAUACCUUGCUGUUUUGACGUUACCGACAGAAUAAGCACCGGCUAACUUCGUGCCAGCAGCCGCGGUAAUACGAAGGGUGCAAGCGUUAAUCGGAAUUACUGGGCGUAAAGCGCGCGUAGGUGGUUUUGUAAGUUGGAGGUGACAUCCCCGGGCUCAACCUGGGAACUGCCUACAAAACUGCAUGACUAGAGUACGGUAGAGGGUAGUGGAAUUUCCUGUGUAGCGGUGAAAUGCGUAGAUAUAGGAAGGAACACCAGUGGCGAAGGCGACUACCUGGACUGAUACUGACACUGAGGUGCGAAAGCGUGGGGAGCAAACAGGAUUAGAUACCCGAGUAGUCC